This 1510-nucleotide ribosomal RNA is filed under the name Klebsiella pneumoniae. RNAcentral's name for it is "bacterial SSU rRNA". It matches the Rfam family "Bacterial small subunit ribosomal RNA". The record is from RNAcentral. Lineage: Bacteria; Pseudomonadati; Pseudomonadota; Gammaproteobacteria; Enterobacterales; Enterobacteriaceae.
AGAGUUUGAUCAUGGCUCAGAUUGAACGCUGGCGGCAGGCCUAACACAUGCAAGUCGAGCGGUAGCACAGAGAGCUUGCUCUCGGGUGACGAGCGGCGGACGGGUGAGUAAUGUCUGGGAAACUGCCUGAUGGAGGGGGAUAACUACUGGAAACGGUAGCUAAUACCGCAUAAUGUCGCAAGACCAAAGUGGGGGACCUUCGGGCCUCAUGCCAUCAGAUGUGCCCAGAUGGGAUUAGCUAGUAGGUGGGGUAACGGCUCACCUAGGCGACGAUCCCUAGCUGGUCUGAGAGGAUGACCAGCCACACUGGAACUGAGACACGGUCCAGACUCCUACGGGAGGCAGCAGUGGGGAAUAUUGCACAAUGGGCGCAAGCCUGAUGCAGCCAUGCCGCGUGUGUGAAGAAGGCCUUCGGGUUGUAAAGCACUUUCAGCGGGGAGGAAGGCGNCGAUUGACGUUACCCGCAGAAGAAGCACCGGCUAACUCCGUGCCAGCAGCCGCGGUAAUACGGAGGGUGCAAGCGUUAAUCGGAAUUACUGGGCGUAAAGCGCACGCAGGCGGUCUGUCAAGUCGGAUGUGAAAUCCCCGGGCUUAACCUGGGAACUGCAUUCGAAACUGGCAGGCUAGAGUCUUGUAGAGGGGGGUAGAAUUCCAGGUGUAGCGGUGAAAUGCGUAGAGAUCUGGAGGAAUACCGGUGGCGAAGGCGGCCCCCUGGACAAAGACUGACGCUCAGGUGCGAAAGCGUGGGGAGCAAACAGGAUUAGAUACCCUGGUAGUCCACGCCGUAAACGAUGUCGAUUUGGAGGUUGUGCCCUUGAGGCGUGGCUUCCGGAGCUAACGCGUUAAAUCGACCGCCUGGGGAGUACGGCCGCAAGGUUAAAACUCAAAUGAAUUGACGGGGGCCCGCACAAGCGGUGGAGCAUGUGGUUUAAUUCGAUGCAACGCGAAGAACCUUACCUGGUCUUGACAUCCACAGAACUUUCCAGAGAUGGAUUGGUGCCUUCGGGAACUGUGAGACAGGUGCUGCAUGGCUGUCGUCAGCUCGUGUUGUGAAAUGUUGGGUUAAGUCCCGCAACGAGCGCAACCCUUAUCCUUUGUUGCCAGCGGUCCGGCCGGGAACUCAAAGGAGACUGCCAGUGAUAAACUGGAGGAAGGUGGGGAUGACGUCAAGUCAUCAUGGCCCUUACGACCAGGGCUACACACGUGCUACAAUGGCAUAUACAAAGAGAAGCGACCUCGCGAGAGCAAGCGGACCUCAUAAAGUAUGUCGUAGUCCGGAUUGGAGUCUGCAACUCGACUCCAUGAAGUCGGAAUCGCUAGUAAUCGUAGAUCAGAAUGCUACGGUGAAUACGUUCCCGGGCCUUGUACACACCGCCCGUCACACCAUGGGAGUGGGUUGCAAAAGAAGUAGGUAGCUUAACCUUCGGGAGGGCGCUUACCACUUUGUGAUUCAUGACUGGGGUGAAGUCGUAACAAGGUAACCGUAGGGGAACCUGCGGUUGGAUCACCU